Long non-coding RNA from Piliocolobus tephrosceles (Ugandan red Colobus), 4417 nucleotides. RefSeq lists it as uncharacterized. The record is from RefSeq and is a predicted model, not a curated record. Lineage: Eukaryota; Metazoa; Chordata; Mammalia; Primates; Cercopithecidae. The transcript has 3 exons.
CACACGCCAUCUUCCGGGUGGGUGUCUGAAUACUUCCAAUUCAGGACUGUUGAGCCUGACACUUCCUCUGCAUUCGUUUGGCUCAAAGCUCCUGUCCACCUCCAUCUACUGCAUCUGAAACUUUGAGAAGGAAACUUCAAAAUGUCAUUGGAGCUGGAACAGCACUUUUGCCGGUGGGGGACCCUGCUGUGACUCACUGCUGGGCUCAGAGCCACUGAAAACAUUUCUCCUGGUAAGGGGGCCACUGCGGCCAGCAGAGCUUUACAGGCCCAAGGCUCUGCCUGAGCUACCUUCAGAAGAGAGGAGGCACUGUGCAGUGCUUCCAGAAGGCCUCCCACGGUUCCCAGGGGAGCGGGGACCCAUGGAUGUGCUGAGGAGAGAGAUCCAGACUGUGGGUGACACAUGCAAGUGCCCAGUUGCCACGCACGCUGGACUCUUCCGAGUUCCAGGAGCCUGCAAACUUCCUGAGCCUGACUGUGUGGGCCUGACACUUCCAGAGUGUUCUUCCAGCCAAAGUCUAAGGUGCUGGUGAGGAAAAAGCAGAGUAAGACUGUGAUGAUGCUGGAGAGUGUGUACUUUCCAGUAUGGGGACUGUCGUGGGUUGACCUGUGCCAUCCAAAAGACAUGUUACAGUCUCAGCCCCAUUAUUUCGGAAUGUGACUUUAUUUGAAAAUAGGGUCUUCGCAGAUGAGAUUUGUUAAAAUAAGGUAACACUGGAUUAGGGUGGGCCCUAAAUCAAUGGCUGGUGUUCUUAUAAGAAGGCCAUGUGACAAUGGAAGUGGAGAUUGGCGAGAUCCAGAAGCGAGGAGACGCAUGGAAUGGAUUCUCCCUGGAGCCUUCAGAGGAAACAUCGCUCUGCAGACACUGUCAUUUUGGACUUGGCCUCCAGAACUGAGAGAAUACAUUUCUUUUGUUUAAAGCCACCCAGGUUAUGAACACUAAUGUAGGGGGUGAAUUGGAGGGCUUGGCCCACCCGGAGGCACUAGAUUCCGUUCCUAGGGGCUGGAACGAUGUCCUCAAAAGAGGAAGGAAGGGUUAGGACAGGAUUUUCAACCCAGAAGUCCAAGUAGAAGGAGACAUAUUCGAAGCUUGGCCCUUAAGUCUGUGCUCUUGGCUGUCUCAAUGGUCUGUCCCGGGGGCCUCCCCAGAUUGGUCAGACUCUGGGGCCUGUGUGGACCUGACAGUGCAUAUCCUCUGUGUGAGGACUGGUCUGGCUGAGAAGUUUCUGUGUGUUAAGGGAUCAAUACUGAGACUGGACUUUCGCUGCCUACUCCGACCCGCAGCUCCCUGAGCCUGAUGACAUGACCCCUUCCACGCAGAUUCAUCUCAAACUUGUUUGAUGCCUCUCCAAAGAGCUCCAUCUGGUUCCCUCCCUAUUCCUGACAGGUGGCUAACACAGCUCUCUGAAGCCCCCCAAACACCAGGAAGCAUCUUCUGCAGAACUGACUUGGCUUUUAUGUCACAUUGCUGUCUCCCCAUCGUGUAUUUGCUACAACCACAGACAUUUGUAUGGAAAUGGAAUCCGUGUUUGUAAGGGUUCAUCUGCUCAGGCUGCCUUGUGAGCAGGCACUGGGGGACAAUCUGCCCGGCCAGCACCCACCCACGUGGCUCCUCGGCUCCUCUGGCAGGACUUCUCCAACCUCUGAGAGUGGGGGAUGCCAUUGGGCUGGGAUUUAUGGCCCGUGUGAGCCUUCCUGGGCCACAGGAGCAUCUGCUUCAACACUGCAACAUCUCUCCAUCUCGAAGCAUAUGUCUCUAAGCAUAUAAGGCUGUCACUUGCUGGGCUGUGGGCCGUGCUGUGGAGCGCUUGGCCAGAGGGUGGGGCCGUGCUGCACCAGGAACAGCAGUGGAGAGGCCUGGGGCCACGGACUGUAACAGAGGCACAGAGGAGCCACGUGUGGCACAUCAAGAGAGGGGUUAGGCACGAGUGCACCUUUUCCCAUCCAGAUACACCCCACAUGAGCAUGGACUCAGCGUUUACAGAGCACUUUCACCUCCCUUUGGAGUUUUUCUUCAGGACAGGAGUUACCGAGUGAAUGCCUGCGUCCUCACCAGAUUCAUCUGUUAGAGGUUAACCAUCAAUGCCAAGGCAUUAGGAGGUGGAGCCUGUGGGAGGUGAUGAGGGUUGAGGGGAGGGCAUGUGAGUGGGGCCCUCCCGAUGGGAUUAGCGCCCCUUGUAAGAAGAGAAAGAGACACCAGAGCUUCCUGUCUCCGCCAUGUGAGGACCCAGCAAAAAGGCAGCAGGCUGCAAACCAGGAAGAGGGCCUCCUCAGAACCUGGCCAUGCUGGCAGCCUCCUCGGAGGCCCUGCCUUCACAGCUGGGAGAAACACGUGUCUGUUGUUUAAGCCCCCCAGGCUGUGGUGUUUUUUUACAGCAGCCUGAGCUGACUAAGACAAUGGGAGACUUCAGCUUGCAGGAAGAGGAGGUUCAUUGGCUCCAGGUCACACAGUCUGGUCCUGCAGCUCCAAAUUCCAAGCCCCUCGCUCAGGACCAGUGGGUCAGGGUCAGAGAAUUCCAAGGAAGGCCAGGCUGGGGAGGGUCCCCGAGGGUGGGGAUGGGGACAGCCCACCCUGGAGAUGGGGUCCCACUCUGCCACAUGGUCCAGAGCAGGCCCUGCCUUGGGGACCCUCCCCUCCAUCACUCUCAGGCUGUAUGUUCGGGUCCCCCCACCUACACCACCCCCACCUUCGGGAGUGCAUUAGACCUAGGCCUGGCCAAGCCAGUAAAUGCCUGUUGAGCACCUUCUACAUGGCAGGUGCUGUUCAGGUGCCUGGGAAGUAGCAGCGAAUAAAAUAGGCAAAAGUCCCAUGCUGUGGACUUUACAUGUUGGUGGAGGAAGACAGACAAUAAAAGUCAAAUAGCCACUGCAUUAGAAAGUUAGAAUGGUUGGGAGAACAAUACAGUGAGGAGGGGACAGGGUGUAUGUGGGUGGAAUGGAAGUGGGGAGGACUGAGGAGGUGGCACCUGAGGAAGGGCUUGAAGGAGGGGAGAGAGGAACUCGGCAGAGGGAACGGAGAGGGCAGAGUCCCUGAGGCAGGAGCACUGGCGGGUGGGUUUGAAGAGCAGCAAGAAGCUGCUGUGACCAGAGCAGAGAGGAGAGGGUUUGGAGGUGGGGGCUGAGGUAGGGCCUUUGGCUGGUGCUCAGAGGGUGAUGGGAGGUCACUGAGGGGUAUGGGGCAGAGAAAUGCCACCGUCUCACCCACAUUUUGACAAGAGCACUCUGUGUUGUGAUGAACAGCUGGUGGGGAGGGGGCCCUGCUGAAGGCUGGCACAGCAGAAUCCAGGUGAGAAACGGUAGAGGGGGCAGAAGGAGUCCGACUCAGUAUGUAUUUUGAAAUGUUUGCUGACCACUUGAAGAUGGAGUGACAGAGAGGGAGGCAGUGAGGAUGCUUUCAGCAUCAGCAAAUGGGAAGAUGGAUUUCCAUUGACCGAGAGGCAGAUGAAUGUACGAAGAACAGCCUUGCAGCUAAAGACAGGAUUUCCCACUUGGAAACGUGAGGUUUGUCAUAUCCCUUAGAAAUGCAAGCGAGGCUGUCAAGUGAGCCUUCAGCUCAGGGUGGGUUGGGGCUGGCGAUACAAAAUUGGGCACUUGAAGUCAGGAAACUGCACAGUGUUACAGGCUGGUGAUUGCUGGUGCAACGCAGAAGAAGCCUGAAGCUUGCAUCCUUAGACAUCCAGUGAUAAGCAGUGGCACAGGCCAGGUGGAAUCCACAAAGAUUCUGGAAAGAAGCCGCCAGGGAGGUGGGAGGAAAGCCAGGAGGGUUUUCAUGCUGGCGGCUGAACCUCGUGGCUUCUUGUCACCCCGGCCACUGUGCUGCCCAUGGUGCAGGCACAGGACCCGUGUUGGUCUGAUCAGAGCACAGCCAGGGUACUUACUGGAGUCACAGAGCACAGGAAGCAAGCUAUUUUCUGUCUUACCGUGCUUAGCUGGGAAGAGGAAUGAGUCGGGAGCUGUUGGUAACCAUUUUCCCAGUCCAAGUAAGCAACUGGCACCAGAUCAGAAUUGCCAGAUGCAAGACGCACAGGGAGGCAGAGUCCCAGGCCAUUUCAGCUCCACAUUCAACCAUGCCCCAAGCUCCUGGCUUUUAGUUUCAUCAGCCAAUAAUUUCCUAAUUUUGCUCAAAUCGGCUUAAGCUGGGUGUCUGUCAUUUGCAACUCAAACAAUUCUGACCAAAGCAUCAAUGCACCCAACACCCACACGGAGAGAACCUCCCCCACCGUCAUUUUGAGGCUGUGCCCUCCAGUUGAACACCUGUUCUCUGUGGCACUGACUCCUCUUUCCAUAGGGACAUCUUACAACAGUUGCCGUUAUCUGAGGUUGUGCAAAGAGGGAUGGAGGAGAAAACAGUGGAGAAUCACUGAUGGAGUCUCCCUCUGUUGCCCAAGCUGGAAUGGAGUGGCAUGAUCUCGGCUCAC